Molecule: unclassified non-coding RNA, 254 nt
Filed under: Hevea brasiliensis (rubber tree)
Lineage: Eukaryota; Viridiplantae; Streptophyta; Magnoliopsida; Malpighiales; Euphorbiaceae
Source: RNAcentral
CAGAGACCAGAUCUUUUUGGUUGUGCUUUGGCUCAUGUUGGUGUGAUGGACAUGCUGCGGUUUCACAAGUUUACUAUAGGUCAUGCGUGGACUUCUGAUUAUGGCUGUUCGGACAAGGAGGAAGAGUUCCAUUGGCUUAUUAAGUACUCACCACUGCACAACGUGCGAAGACCAUGGGAACAACAUCCUGAUCAACCUUGUCAGUACCCAUCCACCAUGCUGCUUACUGCUGAUCAUGAUGAUCGAGUUGUACC